GGACCCUAUAAUCUGCUGUGUUGUUAGAGUCACCCGCUACUUUAGAUCCUUAUAGCCACGUAUCAUUGCCAGUGUUCAGGAGCAAGAUCGGUCAGCGUUGGGCUAGUCCCGGAAGACUCCACCAGCUAGUGAAACAGACAGUGUGUGAACACAGAUUUCA
RNAcentral lists this long non-coding RNA (160 nucleotides) under Mustela putorius furo (domestic ferret). RNAcentral's name for it is "lncRNA (ENSMPUG00000029664.1)". The record is from RNAcentral. Lineage: Eukaryota; Metazoa; Chordata; Mammalia; Carnivora; Mustelidae.